GAUACACGAGAAUUAUAGCCAGAUUAAAAGACGAGAAAUAAGCUCUGAAAAUUCUUCACUGCCCCUAAAAAAUUGCCAAGCUCUCAUUCUGAAAGGACUAACUUUUCUAUAACAAAUAUUAUCUGCCUUUGAUCGCAUUUUAAGAAAUUGAAAUAACAGCCUAAGACUGCAACAAUCACUGGAUUAACCAAUCAGCCGCUUGCUACAAUCUCAUGGAUGGCAUCACUGACAGAUUC
Molecule: unclassified non-coding RNA, 236 nt
Filed under: Hevea brasiliensis (rubber tree)
Lineage: Eukaryota; Viridiplantae; Streptophyta; Magnoliopsida; Malpighiales; Euphorbiaceae
Source: RNAcentral